CAUAAGGUGUGCAAAAGUGAGCCACCCAAAAGUAUUACAGAGUUAGUUUACUGAUAUCUCAUCACAAAAAACAGCACGAAAAAAGAAGAAACAAAUCAAGUUACAAUAAAACACCCAUACUAUAAAGGGUACCGCCAUCAGUCAGUGUAACUAUAGGUGAAAGUAGUCAGACUAGCCUUUAACCAUUUGUAAGACACACGCUUUACGUUGUCCGUUAUUUGAGGAAGAUCCAAGGCCUGCUGAUUGAAAACUCGGUUGUUCCUUUCCUUCCAAAUUACCCAGAUACAUGCGAGCCAUAACAAUUUCAUGAAGGAAUGUGUAAAUCUUGGUAUCCCGACAAUGUGACUGAACUGAAGAAAGUGAUCAUGGACCCUGUCUGUAGCAACGAAAGAGAUACCCAACCAACGCAUAACAAGUGACCACACGCAUCCAAAAGUAGCACAACUCAAAAAUAGAUGAUUUGCAGUCUCCACAACAUCGCAACCUCUUAUACACUUGUUGUCAUCAUGUUGAAGCACACGGCGCCGCACAAGAUUAUCUUUUGUCAGUAGUCUGUUGCGAAGAAGUCUCCAAGCAAAUAAUGAAACCUUCGGUGGAACAUGCUUAUGUCAAACAUCAUCAAACAUACCCCUUGCAAGAGCUUCGUCAAUUGUCAUGAGAAAAUGAUAAGUUCCCUUAAUGGAAUAUCCAUUAACGGGAUUGAGAAGUCAUUGCUACAUGUCAGUAAUAACACCUUGCAAAACAACAUUAUGCAGUAAAUCAGAGCACUCUCUAAUACACUCCUCCUCCCAGGCUAACAGGC
RNAcentral lists this long non-coding RNA (802 nucleotides) under Medicago truncatula (barrel medic). RNAcentral's name for it is "long non-coding RNA (MTRU_LNC005459)". Lineage: Eukaryota; Viridiplantae; Streptophyta; Magnoliopsida; Fabales; Fabaceae. The record is from RNAcentral.